UACGUAGGGGGCAAGCGUUAUCCGGAUUUACUGGGUGUAAAGGGAGCGUAGACGGCUGUGCAAGUCUGAAGUGAAAGCCCGCGGCUCAACCGCGGAAUUGCUUUGGAAACUGUAUAGCUUGAGUAUCGGAGGGGUAAGCGGAAUUCCUAGUGUAGCGGUGAAAUGCGUAGAUAUUAGGAGGAACACCGGUGGCGAAGGCGGCUUACUGGACGAUAACUGACGUUGAGGCUCGAAAGCGUGGGGAGCAAACAGG
This 253-nucleotide ribosomal RNA is filed under the name uncultured bacterium. RNAcentral's name for it is "partial 16S ribosomal RNA". It matches the Rfam family "Bacterial small subunit ribosomal RNA", at positions 524 to 776 of the family's 1533-position model. The record is from RNAcentral.